Molecule: ribosomal RNA, 496 nt
Filed under: uncultured bacterium
Lineage: Bacteria
Description: partial 16S ribosomal RNA
Rfam family: Bacterial small subunit ribosomal RNA
Source: RNAcentral
AUGAACGCUGGCGGCGUGCCUAAUACCUGCAAGUCGAGCGAACAGACGAGGAGCUUGCUCCUCUGACGUUAGCGGCGGACGGGUGAGUAACACGUGGAUAACCUACCUAUAAGACUGGGAUAACUUCGGGAAACCGGAGCUAAUACCGGAUAAUAUAUUGAACCGCAUGGUUCAAUAGUGAAAGACGGUUUUGCUGUCACUUAUAGAUGGAUCCGCGCCGCAUUAGCUAGUUGGUAAGGUAACGGCUUACCAAGGCAACGAUGCGUAGCCGACCUGAGAGGGGGAUCGGCCACACUGGAACUGAGACACGGUCCAGACUCCUACGGGAGGCAGCAGUAGGGAAUCUUCCGCAAUGGGCGAAAGCCUGACGGAGCAACGCCGCGUGAGUGAUGAAGGUCUUCGGAUCGUAAAACUCUGUUAUUAGGGAAGAACAAAUGUGUAAGUAACUAUGCACGUCUUGACGGUACCUAAUCAGAAAGCCACGGCUAACUACGUG